RNAcentral lists this ribosomal RNA (819 nucleotides) under Neopestalotiopsis sp. 'endofruitii'. RNAcentral describes it as "partial large subunit ribosomal RNA". It matches the Rfam family "Eukaryotic large subunit ribosomal RNA", at positions 74 to 918 of the family's 3401-position model. Lineage: Eukaryota; Fungi; Ascomycota; Sordariomycetes; Amphisphaeriales; Sporocadaceae. The record is from RNAcentral.
AUUGCCUUAGUAACGGCGAGUGAAGCGGCAACAGCUCAAAUUUGAAAUCUGGCCCUUGGGUCCGAAUUGUAAUUUGUAGAGGAUGAUUUUGGUGCGGUAUCUUCCGAGUUCCUUGGAACAGGACGCCUUAGAGGGUGAGAGCCCCGUACGGUUGAAUGCCUAGCCUCUGUAAAUCUCCUUCGACGAGUCGAGUAGUUUGGGAAUGCUGCUCUAAAUGGGAGGUAAAUUUCUUCUAAAGCUAAAUAUUGGCCAGAGACCGAUAGCGCACAAGUAGAGUGAUCGAAAGAUGAAAAGCACUUUGAAAAGAGGGUUAAAUAGCACGUGAAAUUGUUGAAAGGGAAGGAUUUGUGACCAGACUUUUUCUGGGCGGAUCAUCCGGGGUUCUCUCCGGUGCACUUCGCCCAGUAAAGGCCAGCAUCGGUUUUCGGCGUGGGAUAAAAGCAGUAGGAAUGUGGCUCUCUACGGGGAGUGUUAUAGCCUAUUGUAUAAUACCGCGCUGGGGACCGAGGUUCGCGCUUCUGCAAGGAUGCUGGCGUAAUGGUUAUCAAUCACCCGUCUUGAAACACGGACCAAGGAGUCGAACAUUUGUGCGAGUGUUUGGGUGUUAAACCCUCACGCGUAAUGAAAGUGAACGGAGGUGAGAGCCCUUACGGGUGCAUCAUCGACCGAUCCUGAAGUUUUCGGAUGGAUUUGAGUAAGAGCAUAACUGUUCGGACCCGAAAGAUGGUGAACUAUGCGUGGAUAGGGUGAAGCCAGAGGAAACUCUGGUGGAGGCUCGCAGCGGUUCUGACGUGCAAAUCGAUCGUCAAAUCUGCGCAU